CGAAUGCUGACGUGAGUAACGACAAAACGGGUGAAAAACCCGUUCGCCGAAAGACCAAGGGUUCCAGUCCAACGUUAAUCGGGGCUGGGUGAGUCGACCCCUAAGGCGAGGCCGAAAGGCGUAGUCGAUGGGAAAAUGGUUAAUAUUCCAUUACUUCUGUGUAAUGCGAUGAGAGGACGGAGAAGGCUAAAUCAGCCUGGCGUUGGUUGUCCAGGUGAAAGGAUGUAGGCAUGUAUCUUAGGCAAAUCCGGGGUACUCUAUGCUGAGAUCUGAUAGCAAGCUGUACUUGUACAGCGAAGUGGUUGAUGCCAUGCUUCCAGGAAAAGUCUCUAAGCUUCAGUUACACAGGAAUCGUACCCGAAACCGACACAGGUGGUCAGGUCGAGUAGACCAAGGCGCUUGAGAGAACUCUGCUGAAGGAACUAGGCAAAAUGGUACCGUAACUUCGGGAGAAGGUACGCUGUUGUUGGUGAUGGAACUCGCUUCCUGAGCUGACGACAGCCGCAGAAACCAGGCCGCUGCAACUGUUUAUUAAAAACAUAGCACUCUGCAAACACGAAAGUGGACGUAUAGGGUGUGAUGCCUGCCCGGUGCUGGAAGGUUAAUUGAUGGGGUUAGCGUAAGCGAAGCUCUUGAUCGAAGCCCCAGUAAACGGCGGCCGUAACUAUAACGGUCCUAAGGUAGCGAAAUUCCUUGUCGGGUAAGUUCCGACCUGCACGAAUGGCAUAAUGAUGGCGGCGCUGUCUCCAGCAGAGGCUCAGUGAAAUCGAAAUCGCUGUGAAGAUGCAGUGUACCCGCGGCUAGACGGAAAGACCCCGUGAACCUUUACUGCAGCUUGACACUGAACUUUGACCUUACUUGUGUAGGAUAGGUGGGAGGCUUUGAAGCUGGAACGCUAGUUCCAGUGGAGCCGUCCUUGAAAUACCACCCUGGUAAUGUUGAGGUUCUAACUCUGUCCCGUGAUCCGGGACGAGGACCGUGUCUGGUGGGUAGUUUGACUGGGGCGGUCUCCUCCUAAAGAGUAACGGAGGAGUACGAAGGUGCGCUCAGCGUGGUCGGAAAUCACGCGUAGAGUAUAAAGGCAAAAGCGCGCUUAACUGCGAGACCCACAAGUCGAGCAGGUACGAAAGUAGGUCUUAGUGAUCCGGUGGUUCUGUAUGGAAGGGCCAUCGCUCAACGGAUAAAAGGUACUCUGGGGAUAACAGGCUGAUACCGCCCAAGAGUUCAUAUCGACGGCGGUGUUUGGCACCUCGAUGUCGGCUCAUCUCAUCCUGGGGCUGAAGCAGGUCCCAAGGGUAUGGCUGUUCGCCAUUUAAAGAGGUACGCGAGCUGGGUUUAGAACGUCGUGAGACAGUUCGGUCCCUAUCUACCGUGGGCGCUGGAAAUUUGAGAGGAUCUGCUCCUAGUACGAGAGGACCAGAGUGGACGAACCUCUGGUGUACCGGUUGUGACGCCAGUCGCAUCGCCGGGUAGCUAUGUUCGGAAGGGAUAACCGCUGAAAGCAUCUAAGCGGGAAGCCUACCU
RNAcentral lists this ribosomal RNA (1524 nucleotides) under Acinetobacter baumannii. RNAcentral describes it as "partial 23S ribosomal RNA". It matches the Rfam family "Bacterial large subunit ribosomal RNA", at positions 1291 to 2799 of the family's 2925-position model. Lineage: Bacteria; Pseudomonadati; Pseudomonadota; Gammaproteobacteria; Moraxellales; Moraxellaceae. The record is from RNAcentral.